This 429-nucleotide ribosomal RNA is filed under the name uncultured archaeon. RNAcentral describes it as "bacterial SSU rRNA". It matches the Rfam family "Archaeal small subunit ribosomal RNA", at positions 474 to 903 of the family's 1478-position model. The record is from RNAcentral.
UACCAGCUCUCCGAGUGGUGUGGAUGUUUAUUGGGCCUAAAGCAUCCGUAGCUGGCUGGGCAAGUCCCCUGUUAAAUCCACCGAUUUAAUCGUUGGUGUGCGGGGGAUACUGUUCGGCUAGGGGACGGGAGAGGCCGACGGUAUUUUCGGGGUAGGGGUGAAAUCCUAUAAUCCCGGGAAGACCACCAGUGGCGAAGGCUGUCGGCUAGAACGCGCCCGACGGUGAGGGAUGAAAGCUGGGGGAGCGAACCGGAUUAGAUACCCGGGUAGUCCCAGCUGUAAACGAUGCAGGCUAGGUGUUUGGGCGGCCACGUGCCGCUCUAGUGCCGCAGAGAAGUCGUUAAGCCUGCCGCCUGGGGAGUACGGCCGCAAGGCUGAAACUUAAGGGAAUUGGCGGGGGAGCACCACAAGGGGUGAAGCUUGCGGUUU